RNAcentral lists this transfer RNA (78 nucleotides) under Thermococci archaeon. RNAcentral's name for it is "tRNA-Gly". It matches the Rfam family "tRNA". Rfam says of the family: Transfer RNA (tRNA) molecules are approximately 80 nucleotides in length. Their secondary structure includes four short double-helical elements and three loops (D, anti-codon, and T loops). The record is from RNAcentral. RNAcentral also lists the same sequence under 1 other name. Lineage: Archaea; Methanobacteriati; Methanobacteriota; Thermococci.
GCGGCCGUAGUCUAGUCUGGCCUAGGACACUGGCCUUCCAAGCCAGUGACCCGGGUUCAAAUCCCGGCGGCCGCACCA